CUUAACACAUGCAAGUCGAACGGAAAGGCCCUGCUUUUGUGGGGUGCUCGAGUGGCGAACGGGUGAGUAACACGUGAGUAACCUGCCCUUGACUUUGGGAUAACUUCAGGAAACUGGGGCUAAUACCGGAUAGGAGCUCCUGCUGCAUGGUGGGGGUUGGAAAGUUUCGGCGGUUGGGGAUGGACUCGCGGCUUAUCAGCUUGUUGGUGGGGUAGUGGCUUACCAAGGCUUUGACGGGUAGCCGGCCUGAGAGGGUGACCGGCCACAUUGGGACUGAGAUACGGCCCAGACUCCUACGGGAGGCAGCAGUGGGGAAUAUUGCACAACGGGCGGAAGCCUGAUGCAGCAACGCCGCGUGCGGGAUGACGGCCUUCGGGUUGUAAACCGCUUUCGCCUGUGACGAAGCGUGAGUGACGGUAAUGGGUAAAGAAGCACCGGCUAACUACGUGCCAGCAGCCGCGGUGAUACGUAGGGUGCGAGCGUUGUCCGGAUUUAUUGGGCGUAAAGGGCUCGUAGGUGGUUGAUCGCGUCGGAAGUGUAAUCUUGGGGCUUAACCCUGAGCGUGCUUUCGAUACGGGUUGACUUGAGGAAGGUAGGGGAGAAUGGAAUUCCUGGUGGAGCGGUGGAAUGCGCAGAUAUCAGGAGGAACACCAGUGGCGAAGGCGGUUCUCUGGGCCUUUCCUGACGCUGAGGAGCGAAAGCGUGGGGAGCGAACAGGCUUAGAUACCCUGGUAGUCCACGCUGUAAACGGUGGGUACUAGGUGUGGGGUCCAUUCCACGGGUUCCGUGCCGUAGCUAACGCUUUAAGUACCCCGCCUGGGGAGUACGGCCGCAAGGCUAAAACUCAAAGGAAUUGACGGGGCCCCGCACAAGCGGCGGAGCAUGCGGAUUAAUUCGAUGCAACGCGUAGAACCUUACCUGGGUUUGACAUGGAUCGGGAGUGCUCAGAGAUGGGUGUGCCUCUUUUGGGGUCGGUUCACAGGUGGUGCAUGGCUGUCGUCAGCUCGUGUCGUGAGAUGUUGGGUUAAGUCCCGCAACGAGCGCAACCCUUGUUCACUGUUGCCAGCACGUUAUGGUGGGGACUCAGUGGAGACCGCCGGGGUCAACUCGGAGGAAGGUGGGGAUGACGUCAAGUCAUCAUGCCCCUUAUGUCCAGGGCUUCACGCAUGCUACAAUGGCUGGUACAGAGAGUGGCGAGCCUGUGAGGGUGAGCGAAUCUCGGAAAGCCGGUCUCAGUUCGGAUUGGGGUCUGCAACUCGACCUCAUGAAGUCGGAGUCGCUAGUAAUCGCAGAUCAGCAACGCUGCGGUGAAUACGUUCCCGGGGCUUGUACACACCGCCCGUCAAGUCAUGAAAGUUGGUAACACCCGAAGCCGGUGGCCUAACCGUUGUGGGGGAGCCGUCGAAGGUGGGACUGGUGAUUAGGACUAAG
RNAcentral lists this ribosomal RNA (1431 nucleotides) under uncultured organism. RNAcentral's name for it is "16S ribosomal RNA". It matches the Rfam family "Bacterial small subunit ribosomal RNA". The record is from RNAcentral.